CAUUCUCUUAAAACUCAUUCCACUGCGACGGACGGGCUCGGCCGGGAGCAAUCAGUCCGACGGGAACAGGACCCCGGGAAUGGUGGGCAAGGAUUCGGCGA
Ochotona curzoniae (black-lipped pika) is the source of this 101-nucleotide long non-coding RNA. RefSeq lists it as uncharacterized. Lineage: Eukaryota; Metazoa; Chordata; Mammalia; Lagomorpha; Ochotonidae. The transcript is spliced from 3 exons. The record is from RefSeq and is a predicted model, not a curated record.